RNAcentral lists this non-coding RNA (19 nucleotides) under Arabidopsis thaliana (thale cress). RNAcentral also lists the same sequence under 2 other names. The record is from RNAcentral. Lineage: Eukaryota; Viridiplantae; Streptophyta; Magnoliopsida; Brassicales; Brassicaceae.
UAGUGACGCGCAUGAAUGG